AGCAACAUCAAACUGAUCAAACUGUCACAGCUGGACGUGGACAUGAUGUUACUCUGCCUUGUAAAAAUGUGAUACAAGGUCAGCAUAACUGUAUCAGUACUACCUGGCUCUUCAGUGAUUCAAGCAGCACAGUAUCAAUCUUUGAAUUUGGGCAGAAUAAAGAAGCCAAACGUAAAUCAGACAGACUGAGUGUUUCUGCAGACUGUUCUCUGGUUAUAAAGAAGGUCACAGAUCAGGAUGUUGGUCGUUACACCUGCAGACAGUUCAAAACAAGAGGAGGAUCACAAGAAGGUCCAGACUUUAUUAUUGAUCUGUCUGUUAUUAACAGUGAAGAUGUGAAAACAACUAAAUCGACAACAGUGAAGUCCACCACAAAAACAUCAUCAACAACGUCAGAAGGGACAUCAAAUAAUCCAUCAGUAGGCUGAAGCCGAUGAUGAAGUUUCCUACGCCUCCAUCAGCUUCACAAAGAAAACCAAGAGUAAAGACCGGCCUCGCGUUGAUGAUGAUGGUGAGACUAUGACCUACAGCACUGUGAAGACUUUCUCUCCACCUGCUGGAGUUUCCACUGAUUCCAGCGACCUCUAUUCCACCAUCAACAAACCAAAGACAUAGUAUGUUGGUCAUGAAAGGCUGCAUGUUGUUUUUCUUGAUGCUGCAUCAAUGUUUCAAUUGUAAAUUUCUUUACAUUUUUCAAAUUAAAAUGUAAUAUUUGUGUGUAAUAUAUAGGUAAGCACUUUUUUGAAAGCUUAACUCAAGUCAGUACAGACAAGGUAGUUUAUUUAGCUUCUGAAUUAAGUCAUGUGAGAUGUUUUUAAGUAAACAACUUACAUGUUGUUUUCUUAAGCACAUUAGUAGAUCUAAAUCUUUCCAUUCCUUAAUUUUAAAUUUUUUUUAAUGCCUUAAACAUAUUCUCAUCAUCAUCUAUGACAGUAUUACAUUACACACCAAGCACGAUAGGUUGUUGCGAAAA
Molecule: long non-coding RNA, 973 nt
Organism: Oreochromis aureus
Lineage: Eukaryota; Metazoa; Chordata; Actinopteri; Cichliformes; Cichlidae
Source: Ensembl